AGUUGGGAUAGCUCAGUUGGUAGAGCAGAGGACUGAAAAUC
Molecule: transfer RNA, 41 nt
Filed under: Taraxacum pudicum
Lineage: Eukaryota; Viridiplantae; Streptophyta; Magnoliopsida; Asterales; Asteraceae
Description: partial tRNA-Phe
Rfam family: tRNA
About the family: Transfer RNA (tRNA) molecules are approximately 80 nucleotides in length. Their secondary structure includes four short double-helical elements and three loops (D, anti-codon, and T loops).
Source: RNAcentral